Molecule: non-coding RNA, 212 nt
Filed under: Lachnoclostridium phytofermentans
Lineage: Bacteria; Bacillati; Bacillota; Clostridia; Lachnospirales; Lachnospiraceae
Source: RNAcentral
CCAUGUGGUGCUUUGUAAAAGAAGAUAAAAGGGAAUGUGGUGAGAAUCCGCAGCAGCCCCCGUUACUGUUAUUGGAAUGAAAAUUGCAUAAGUGUCAUUGUAUCUUCUUUGGCAUUAAGGAUAUGGCUCCUAACCUUAAAAGCGAGGAAUGAUAUGAGAAGACAGCAAUGAGUAAAAUGACCAUAAGCCAGGAAACCUGCCAUAUGAGAAUG